RNAcentral lists this ribosomal RNA (301 nucleotides) under uncultured bacterium. RNAcentral's name for it is "partial 16S ribosomal RNA". It matches the Rfam family "Bacterial small subunit ribosomal RNA", at positions 509 to 809 of the family's 1533-position model. The record is from RNAcentral.
CAGCCGCCGCGGUAAUACGUAGGGUGCAAGCGUUAAUCGGAAUUACUGGGCGUAAAGCGUGCGCAGGCGGUUUUGUAAGACAGAGGUGAAAUCCCCGGGCUCAACCUGGGAACUGCCUUUGUGACUGCAAGGCUAGAGUACGGCAGAGGGGGAUGGAAUUCCGCGUGUAGCAGUGAAAUGCGUAGAUAUGCGGAGGAACACCGAUGGCGAAGGCAAUCCCCUGGGCCUGUACUGACGCUCAUGCACGAAAGCGUGGGGAGCAAACAGGAUUAGAUACCCGAGUAGUCCCUGUCUCUUAUAA